Molecule: ribosomal RNA, 381 nt
Filed under: uncultured bacterium
Lineage: Bacteria
Description: bacterial SSU rRNA
Rfam family: Bacterial small subunit ribosomal RNA
Source: RNAcentral
AACGAACGCUGGCGGCGCGCCUAAUACAUGCAAGUCGAGCGAGAAGACGUAGCAAUACGUUUGUAAAGCGGCGAACGGGUGAGGAAUACAUGGGUAACCUACCCUCGAGUGGGGAAUAACUAGCCGAAAGGUUAGCUAAUACCGCGUACGCUCCUUGGACUUCGGUUCAGGGAGGAAAGCGAUACCGUGGGUAUCGCGCUCUUGGAUGGGCUCAUGUCCUAUCAGCUUGUUGGUGAGGUAACGGCUCACCAAGGCUUCGACGGGUAGCUGGUCUGAGAGGACAAUCAGCCACACUGGCACUGCGACACGGGCCAGACUCCUACGGGAGGCAGCAGUAAGGAAUAUUGCGCAAUGGGCGAAAGCCUGACGCAGCGACGCCGC